AUGAAUUGGCAGCGCAUAUAGAAAAUCAAAAUGAUACAGGGACAAUUAGCAUGGCCUUUGUACAACAAUGACACAUGAAUUUGUAAAGCAUUUUAUGGUUUU
Small nuclear RNA from Ochotona curzoniae (black-lipped pika), 102 nucleotides. Lineage: Eukaryota; Metazoa; Chordata; Mammalia; Lagomorpha; Ochotonidae. The record is from RefSeq and is a predicted model, not a curated record.